CCCGUCGUGAGGCGGAGUCUGAAGGAAGCCUAAAGCAAAGCCUCGGUCUGACUAACAGAAACUGCAUAAAAGGCGUUUUGAAAUGGACGAGUUUGCACGACAGAACAAAGUCCGAUACUGCCCGAAAUUCAAGGCGUAAAUGCAGCAGAUAUAUGAGGUGAAGGUGAUUACGC
Non-coding RNA from Firmicutes bacterium CAG:272_52_7, 173 nucleotides. The record is from Rfam. NCBI's taxonomy places the organism in Bacteria, Bacillati, Bacillota.